RNAcentral lists this ribosomal RNA (253 nucleotides) under uncultured bacterium. Its description in RNAcentral is "partial 16S ribosomal RNA". It matches the Rfam family "Bacterial small subunit ribosomal RNA", at positions 524 to 776 of the family's 1533-position model. The record is from RNAcentral.
UACAGAGGGGGCAAGCGUUAUUCGGAAUUAUUGGGCGUAAAGGGCGCGUAGGCGGCCUGGCAAGUGGAAGGUGAAAUCCCUCGGCUUAACCGAGGAACUGCCUCCCAAACUGCUUGGCUUGAGACCAGGAGAGGUGAGUGGAAUUCCCAGUGUAGCGGUGAAAUGCGUAGAUAUUGGGAGGAACACCAGUGGCGAAGGCGGCUCACUGGACUGGUACUGACGCUGAGGCGCGAAAGCUAGGGGAGCAAACAGG